GCUACUCCAGCUGCGGCGGGCCCUGACAAACCCUUCCUGGCCAAGUCUGCGACUCCACGCCGGGCGCUGCGGUGGUGGUGGGGAUGCUGGGGAGGAUGCACGGCAAGCUGCACUUCGUGCGGUAGCAGCUGCGAUGGCUGUAGCAGGACCUGGACUGUCAUCACGCCCUGGUCCAAAUGGACCAAGACGGUCACUUGGGGCCGCUAAGCUGCCGUACUUUUAUCUGGCCGUAUCCAUACAAGAGUCGCGUUAUCCUACCGUAGAGGAUAGAGCUUUGGGAUUGGAUGGAAGGCAUAGUUGGUGAUGCGGUGCGGCAAUCUUUCAGGGGGGACGUAAAUAAACGCCAUCGGCUUGCUUUCAC
Molecule: long non-coding RNA, 361 nt
Filed under: Volvox carteri
Lineage: Eukaryota; Viridiplantae; Chlorophyta; Chlorophyceae; Chlamydomonadales; Volvocaceae
Description: long non-coding RNA (VCAR_LNC003412)
Source: RNAcentral